CCAGCAGCCGCGGUAAUUCCAGCUCCAAGAGCGUAUAUUAAAGUUGUUGCAGUUAAAAAGCUCGUAGUUGAACCUUGGGAAGGCCGCGCCGGUCCGCCUUUUGGCGAGCACUGGAGGCAGCCUUCCUUUCCUCUGCCAUCCCUUCGGGGCGGGCAGACUAUUACUUUGAGUAAAUGAGAGUGUUCAAAGCAGGCGUACGCUUGAAUCUGUUAGCAUGGAAUAAUAGAAUAGGACGCAUGGUUCUAUUUUGUUGGUUUCUAGGACCAUCGUAAUGAUUAAUAGGGACGGUCGGGGGCAUCAGUAUUCAGUUGUCAGAGGUGAAAUUCUUGGAUUUACUGAAGACU
This 344-nucleotide ribosomal RNA is filed under the name uncultured eukaryote. RNAcentral describes it as "SSU rRNA". It matches the Rfam family "Eukaryotic small subunit ribosomal RNA", at positions 567 to 937 of the family's 1831-position model. The record is from RNAcentral.